RNAcentral lists this ribosomal RNA (800 nucleotides) under Pallisentis sp. 2 NKG-2015. Its description in RNAcentral is "SSU rRNA". It matches the Rfam family "Eukaryotic small subunit ribosomal RNA", at positions 943 to 1755 of the family's 1831-position model. The record is from RNAcentral. Lineage: Eukaryota; Metazoa; Acanthocephala; Eoacanthocephala; Gyracanthocephala; Quadrigyridae.
CUGCGAAAGCAUUUGCCAAGAAUGUUUUCAUUAAUCAAGAACGAAAGUUAGAGUUUCGAAGACGAUUAGAUACCGUCCUAGUUCUAACUAUAAACUAUGCCAACUGGGCAUCUGGCGGUAGCACAUUAGGCAUCGGCAGGCACCCCGCGGGAAACCAAAGUUAUAGGGUUCCGGGGGGAGUAUGGUUGCAAAAUCGAAACUUAAAGGAAUUGACGGAGGGGCACACCAGAAGUGGAGCCUGCGGCUCAAUUUGACUCAACGCACGAAAACUUACUCGGUCCGAACACCGUGAGGAUUGACAGGUUGAAAGCUCUUUCUUGAUUUGGUGGGUGGUGGUGCAUGGCCGUUCGUAGUUGGUGGAGUGAUUUGUCUGGUUUAUUCCGAUAACGAACGAGACUCUAGCCUAUUAAUUAGUGUGGCGAGUGACGACUUUAUUGGUCUUGCCGCCUGAACACUUCUUAGAGGGACAAGUACUGUAAAGUGCUGGAAGAUGAGCAAUAACAGGUCUGUGAUGCCCUUAGAUGUUCGAGGCUGCACGCGCGCUACAAUGGAGGCUUCAAAAAGUAGUUAUCCUGGUUUGAAAAGAUCGGGGAAUCAAAAAUAGCCUUCACGAUUGGGAUCGGAGAUUGUAAUUAUUCUUCGUGAAAGAGGAAUUCCUAGUAAACGCGAAUCAUUAUUUCGCGUUGAAUAAGUCCCUGCCCUUUGUACACACCGCCCGUCGCUACUACCGAUCGAAUGGUCUAGUGAGGUUUCCGGAUAGGUUGCAUGGAGCCAAAAGCUCCACUGUAUAUUCUAAAAGC